UCUUGAUGAUUUUGUGGGACGUGGGAUGCAUGAUACAUGAUACAUCAACACAACAGUGACCCCAGGAGGACAGCUAUAGGAUUACACAGCACCCUGCAUAUCCAAGGCAGGGCAACAGAUCAAAAUAUGUCUCACCGACAGGGGCAUUUUGGAUAAUGGUGGAUCUUCACCACUUAAUACAAAACUAUGAGUGAGUCUUGACAACCAGAGCAUAGAUACCAGUUCACCAAAAAUAGUUGAUAUGAAAGCAUACCAUUUUGGUUUGUGUAAGCAGUAAUGGAAGUGGUAGCAGUGGUGUGAAGGUCUCCUACCUUGAAAAGCAUGACUGAGCCUAAGAACAUGUUGAGGAAGGACACCAGCAGAAGAAUGGACAGACCAGACAUCAGAGAGCCUGCAAGAAGGAAGAGCAGUGUUGGUGUUUGGAGUUGUUGGUAAAACCAGUGAAGGAACUGGGCUGCAUCACAGCAUUAUGGGUGUACACUGCGUCAUUAAGAAUCAUAAGGCCAGGAGAAGGAACCAUUUAUAGUGCAUCUAUAAAAUGUAGAUACUGUAUGCUUUAAUCUCUGUCCAGACAAAGGCAUUUUGCACUUUUUCCACUUGGUGGUUUUAA
Long non-coding RNA from Alosa sapidissima (American shad), 610 nucleotides. RefSeq lists it as uncharacterized. The transcript is spliced from 3 exons. The record is from RefSeq and is a predicted model, not a curated record. Lineage: Eukaryota; Metazoa; Chordata; Actinopteri; Clupeiformes; Clupeidae.